This 741-nucleotide ribosomal RNA is filed under the name uncultured Streptococcaceae bacterium. Its description in RNAcentral is "bacterial SSU rRNA". It matches the Rfam family "Bacterial small subunit ribosomal RNA", at positions 47 to 770 of the family's 1533-position model. Lineage: Bacteria; Bacillati; Bacillota; Bacilli; Lactobacillales; Streptococcaceae. The record is from RNAcentral.
CCUAAUACAUGCAAGUCGAGCGAACGGACGAGAAGCUUGCUUCUCUGAUGUUAGCGGCGGACGGGUGAGUAACACGUGGAUAACCUACCUAUAAGACUGGGAUAACUUCGGGAAACCGGAGCUAAUACCGGAUGAUAUUUUGAACCGCAUGGUUCAAAAGUGAAAGACGGUCUUGCUGUCACUUAUAGAUGGAUCCGCGCUGCAUUAGCUAGUUGGUAAGGUAACGGCUUACCAAGGCAACGAUGCAUAGCCGACCUGAGAGGGUGAUCGGCCACACUGGGACUGAGACACGGCCCAGACUCCUACGGGAGGCAGCAGUAGGGAAUCUUCGGCAAUGGGGGCAACCCUGACCGAGCAACGCCGCGUGAGUGAAGAAGGUUUUCGGAUCGUAAAGCUCUGUUGUUAGAGAAGAAUGAUGGUGGGAGUGGAAAAUCCACCAAGUGACGGUAACUAACCAGAAAGGGACGGCUAACUACGUGCCAGCAGCCGCGGUAAUACGUAGGUCCCGAGCGUUGUCCGGAUUUAUUGGGCGUAAAGCGAGCGCAGGCGGUUUUUUAAGUCUGAAGUUAAAGGCAUUGGCUCAACCAAUGUACGCUUUGGAAACUGGAGAACUUGAGUGCAGAAGGGGAGAGUGGAAUUCCAUGUGUAGCGGUGAAAUGCGUAGAUAUAUGGAGGAACACCGGUGGCGAAAGCGGCUCUCUGGUCUGUAACUGACGCUGAGGCUCGAAAGCGUGGGGAGCA